Molecule: ribosomal RNA, 458 nt
Filed under: uncultured bacterium
Lineage: Bacteria
Description: partial 16S ribosomal RNA
Rfam family: Bacterial small subunit ribosomal RNA
Source: RNAcentral
CCUACGGGUGGCAGCAGUGAGGAAUAUUGGUCAAUGGGCGCGAGCCUGAACCAGCCAAGUAGCGUGAAGGAUGACUGCCCUACGGGUUGUAAACUUCUUUUAUAAAGGCAUAAAUUGAGGCACGUGUGCCUUUUGUAUGUACUUUAUGCAUAAGGAUCGGCUAACUCCGUGCCAGCAGCCGCGGUAAUACGGGGGAUCCGAUCGUUAUCCGGAUUUAUUGGGGUUAAAGUGUUCGUAGGCGGAGCGUUAAGUCUGUGGUCAACUUGAGGGGCUCAACCCCUUCCCGCCAUUGAAAUGGGCGCUCUGGAGUGGAAGAGAAGUAUGCGGAAUGCGUGGUGUAGCGGUGAAAUGCAUAGAUAGCACGCAGAACCCCGAUUGCGAAGGCAGCAUGCCGGCUUCCUACUGACGCUGAAGCACGAAAGCGUGGGGAUCGAACAGGAUUAGAUACCCGUGUAGUC